GCUGUCAAUGCUCACAAGCGCCGCCACAAGACAAAAGAAGGAGGAAGCAGCGAUCACUUCCUGGAUAGAAAUCUUUUCCUGGAGUUUCAAGAUGUGGAGUCUUGAAGGUGUCUUGCACACCUGAGACAGGAGGAAGUGUGUUGGAUAACAUGAACACACCACAGGACUGGAUCUUCACACCUGGAUCUCCACAGCAGGGACUAUCAGGGGUGGUGUUCCUGCCUCCUGGCUUUCAUGUCAGCUCCUCGACGAGAGCGAUGUCCUCUUCCCUGUCAGGAGCUCACGUAUUUGACGACA
Long non-coding RNA from Entelurus aequoreus (snake pipefish), 297 nucleotides. RefSeq lists it as uncharacterized. Lineage: Eukaryota; Metazoa; Chordata; Actinopteri; Syngnathiformes; Syngnathidae. The transcript is spliced from 3 exons. The record is from RefSeq and is a predicted model, not a curated record.